UAUAUAUGCAGAUGCUGUCGU
This 21-nucleotide non-coding RNA is filed under the name Caenorhabditis elegans. Lineage: Eukaryota; Metazoa; Nematoda; Chromadorea; Rhabditida; Rhabditidae. The record is from RNAcentral.